AUCUUCUUGAUAUGAUAUGAAGUCGUGCCUGCCCAAUGAGUAUUUGAAUGGCCGCGGUAUACUUUGACCGUGCAAAGGUAGCAUAAUCAUUAGUCUCUUAAUUGGAGGCUGGAAUGAAUGGUUUUUGACGAAGCAAUUACUGUCUCUUAAUAAUGAUUUGAAUUUUACUUUUGAGUUAAAAGGCUCCUAAAUGUUGAUAGGGGACGAGAAGACCCUAUAGAUCUUGAUAAUUUAUAUUGAUUUUUUUGGAUUUGGAUGGUAUUUAAUAAAUUUUAGUAUAUUGUAUUUGGUUGGGGUGACAGGGGAAUAUAUAAUAACUUCUUACUAUUUAACUAUGAUGAUUGGUUAAUUGAUCCUAUAUUAUGGAAUAAACUGAUAAAGAUACCUUAGGGAUAACAGCGUAAUGUUAUUGGAGAGUUCUUAUUGAUAAUAAA
This 434-nucleotide ribosomal RNA is filed under the name Teleogryllus occipitalis. Its description in RNAcentral is "partial 16S ribosomal RNA". Lineage: Eukaryota; Metazoa; Arthropoda; Insecta; Orthoptera; Gryllidae. The record is from RNAcentral.